This 468-nucleotide ribosomal RNA is filed under the name uncultured bacterium. Its description in RNAcentral is "partial 16S ribosomal RNA". It matches the Rfam family "Bacterial small subunit ribosomal RNA", at positions 28 to 507 of the family's 1533-position model. The record is from RNAcentral.
GACGAACGCUGGCGGCGUGCUUAACACAUGCAAGUCGAACGGAAAGGCCCUGCUUUUGUGGGGUGCUCGAGUGUCGAACGGGUGAGUAACACGUGAGUAACCUGCCCUUGACUUUGGGAUAACUUCAGGAAACUGGGGCUAAUACCGGAUAGGAGCUCCUGCUGCAUGGUGGGGGUUGGAAAGUUUCGGCGGUUGGGGAUGGACUCGCGGCUUAUCAGCUUGUUGGUGGGGUAGUGGCUUACCAAGGCUUUGACGGGUAGCCGGCCUGAGAGGGUGACCGGCCCCAUUGGGACUGAGAUACGGGCAAGACGCCUACGGGAGGAAGCAGUGGGGAAUAUUGCACAAUGGGCGGAAGCCUGAUGCAGAAACGCCGCGUGCGGGAUGACGGCCUUCGGGUUGUAACCCGCUUUCGCCUGUGACGAAGCGUGAGUGACGGUAAUGGGUAAAGAAGCACCGGCUAACUACGUG